This 657-nucleotide ribosomal RNA is filed under the name Vibrio sp. RNAcentral describes it as "partial 16S ribosomal RNA". It matches the Rfam family "Bacterial small subunit ribosomal RNA", at positions 83 to 732 of the family's 1533-position model. Lineage: Bacteria; Pseudomonadati; Pseudomonadota; Gammaproteobacteria; Vibrionales; Vibrionaceae. The record is from RNAcentral.
UAACGGCGUMGAGCGGCGGACGGGUGAGUAAUGCCUGGGAAAUUGCCCUGAUGUGGGGGAUAACCWUUGGAAACGAUGGCUAAUACCGCAUAAUASCUUCGGSUCAAAGAGGGGGAYCUUCGGGCCUCUCGCGUCAGGAUAUGCCCAGGUGGGAUUAGCUAGUUGGUGAGGUAADGGCUCACCAAGGCGACGAUCCSUAGCUGGUCUGAGAGGAUGAUCAGCCACACUGGAACUGAGACACGGUCCAGACUCCUACGGGAGGCAGCAGUGGGGAAUAUUGCACAAUGGGCGCAAGCCUGAUGCAGCCAUGCCGCGUGUAUGAAGAAGGCCUUCGGGUUGUAAAGUACUUUCAGCAGUGAGGAAGGYGGUGUAUUUAAUAGAUGCAUCAUUUGACGUUAGCUGCAGAAGAAGCACCGGCUAACUCCGUGCCAGCAGCCGCGGUAAUACGGAGGGUGCGAGCGUUAAUCGGAAUUACUGGGCGUAAAGCGCAUGCAGGYGGAUGAUUAAGUCAGAUGUGAAAGCCCGGGGCUCAACCUCGGAAUAGCAUUYGAAACUGGUCAUCUAGAGUACKGUAGAGGGGGGUAGAAUUCAGGUGUAGCGGUGAAAUGCGUAGAGUAUCUGAAGGAAUCACYCGRGUGGCGAAGGCGGACCYCCCUG